This 1116-nucleotide small RNA is filed under the name Rattus norvegicus (Norway rat). RNAcentral describes it as "uncharacterized LOC108352545". The record is from RNAcentral. Lineage: Eukaryota; Metazoa; Chordata; Mammalia; Rodentia; Muridae.
UGUAAGACAAAUGUUAUUGUUUAUAAGUUAAAGCACUGAAAUUUUUACAUCAUUUUUGUUAUAUAAAUUCCCUUAAAUUGACCUCUAAUAUUAGUUAAGUCAAGAAGGACAAAGUCUAAUAAAAGAUAGUAGCCGUGGAACUGAAAACUUGGGAAAGCAACUAAAAAAAUUAUAUUCAAAAUAGUUUUAUCCUGGGUAUAAGCUUAACACUUCAUAGUGACACAUACAUUGGUAGUAGCCAGCAGCUCUCUAACUGGACUUAAGACCUACUCAACAAGAGGGAAACCAUGCCUGUUACAGAAGACCUAGCUAACUCCCCAUGCUAGUAAACUCAUGGAUCAUGAAGGAGAACCUACAACCACCAUUUUACUAAACCUGCAUACUCUGACUGCAUUCUAAAUAUUUAUCCUUGAGCCCACAAAUUAGUGUAAUUCUCACCGCUCUUCAAAAACUUUUUUCUCUUUGCAACAAAUAAAGACUAUCACAGGAAACCACAACUGAUCAAAUGCAGCUGAUCCCUAAUGAACACAUCUACAACACAACCCCUGCACAUAAGGCUCAGGGAUCGUUUCCGAAAAGGAGGUGGAAAGCUUGAAGGAGUCAGAAGAACAGGAGCAUUGCUAGGAGACGGUGUUUCCUAGAAAUGUCAGAGAAGAUACGCCCAUGAAGUCUCACUAACAUGGCUGCCUAAACAUGACCUGACGAAGAAAAGACACCAACGGACAUGCUAACGUGAGAGAGAGAAUGUUUGUGGGACCUCAACACUAGACAAAGAACUCAGGCAGCAAGGAAUGCUGAGAGAGAGUGAAAUAGUCUUCCCCGUGGAGAAACAAAACUAGUUAUCCAAACCAAAUGUUCAGAUGCUCACAGAAGAGGAAGUAGAGGACCUCAGAUGCCCUAUUCAAUUUACCCAUGACAGAAAAACAGCUGGGCAGGUUUUUGGCUCCUGUCUGACCCUUCUAAGAACCCACUGCUGACUGUUGGAAGCCUGACUAAUCUUGUUGGCUUGACAUCGUGCAAGGGAGGGAAACUGGACCCAAGGCUGGUGCAAGCCAGGCAAACCCUGUGCCAUGGGGCUUUCAUUCCAGACAAAAGUAUUUCUUAUCUGACUAGGUA